CUCUCCUACACAGGUUUUUUUUCACCUUCUUUGCAACCACGUAAGUGAAAUCCCAACUCCUUGUGCACACAGGGAGGGACAUUGAGACUGAGUCGACCUCAAGGGGAAUGUCAUUGGCGGGGAGAAGAGGGUACACAGAGUCCCUGCCCCGACCAUGGAGUUGUGCUGGUUUUAGCGUCCUCACCCACAACGCCUCUUUCCUCGGUGAGAAAUUACUGCUGCUCAUAGGACAGAAUGUUCCCCAGGUGUGUGAGGACACAAACCCCCAGGAAGUACCAAUCUGUGUACAAGUCUCUUGCGAGCACACCCUCGGUGGUGGGACUCCGUCGUUUGACCACUCUGGUGGCGCCUCUCCUGUCCUUUGGAAUCAGUGCCCAGCUACCCCAUGGAAAACCCCUCUGCCCCGUUUGUCAUGGCAGUUGCAUUGGUAAGGAUCGGAUCACAAAACCUGCAUCUGGCCAGCAGGAGCACCAAGUGAUGUGCUUGGGCAGAAGACGUGUCCCUUAUCAGCCGGAUUAAAACCACCGUGAGGCUUCCGCCAGCCUUCCUGAGGGUGCCAGGCUGUGGGGGCCACCCCUGCUGUGACUCUUUUCUAAAGCCACUUACCCAGGAGCCUGAAAACGAAGCCAGUGGGCAGGAGCCUUUGGAGCACUGCAGCCCAGGGUGCCUGAGAGAUUCUGCUGCAGGUGCCGGGACUCUCCGAGGCUCUGGGUGGCCAUCUCCCUUUGUUAAGUGGUUUGAGUGUGGUCUCUGUCACCAGCCACUGAGAGCCUCCUGACUCAUGCAGAGAACACGUCUGAUGGCAGAAUCCCCACAGCACAAGAGGCCAGGAGAGGAGAUAUUUAGACCAAGAUGGCAUUCUGCACUGCUCUGCUAAAGCAAUGCAGCAGCGAGCGACUGGCCACAGGGGAACCCCCUAGGAGCCCCUUGUUUCAUUCUUUAGAUGUCUCCCAGGUGGAGGCAAGGUCUCACUUACCUCCUUCCUACAAAUGGCAGAGUUUGAGGGGCUCUGGGCGGAGUUGGGCUGAGCUUCUUCCCUGAAGCUGGGUUCCCUGGCUGUGGCUCCCCUUCCUGUCCAGUGGUCAGGUGUCCCCUCCCUCCCUCCUUGUGUACUGAGAGGCGAGUAGGCCUGGGAAGACACCAUGAGCAAAGUCACCUCUCUUCUGGGUCCCGUGGAGCUCAUGCGUGGUAGCAUCUCUAACAAGCCACUUAGCAGAGGCAAACAGAUGAAACUACAAGGACAGAUAUGAAAGGGACAACAAGGGUGACAUGAACUCGGGGCAGGGACUUGCUUCUAGAGGGGUGUUCCAGGAAGAGCUUGCAGAGGAGGUGACCCAGGGUGGAGAGAAAGCCUUGUCACCUGGGUAUCUGGGCAGUGGGAUGGGGGAGGGAGGCAGGCAGUGUUCCCAGCCAGGGCCAGCUUGUGCAAUGGCCCCUCCCUUGCUGGUUCUAUGGGGGGAACUGGGAGGAGACCAGGGUGGUGGGAACACAGUGAAGGAGCAGGACUGAGAUUCCCUGAGGUAGAGGAGGUGGGAGGGACAGAUUCUACUGGGCCUUGCACAUGAGGCUUGCAUUUAUGCUAAGUGCAGGGUAAAGCCUCAGGAAGCUGAUAAGAACUGAGUGUGUGGGGGAAGGGGGGAGGCAUGUCAUGUUCUGAAGGUCCCUCUCAGCCCUAAAACCCCAUGUUCUCUGUCUCCAUGGACGCGUUCUUUCUUUCAUUCGGUGCUGAGUGGAGCUAAGUGGUUCCCUGGAUUUGUGCAGAGGGGAUUGGCUUACCCGAAGAUGUGUACAGGAGAGAGGGCGGUCUGGAGGUGUUUCAAUAAUGAUGAAUCUGUAUGUGUGUGCAUAAGACUAUACAAAAGUAAUUAUUAUUACAUUUAUUGGAUGGUAAUUAUAUGCUAGGCUAAUGCUUCACAUGAAUUUUCUCAUUCAGUCCUCCCAAAAGUAUUCCGAAAAUUCACUUCCCCCUAAUUUUACAAAUGAGGAAACUGAGGUUUAACGAUACAAAGGGCACACAGGUGGUAAGUGGUGGAGCCAGGUUUGGGGUCUGGACCAUUUAAAGCCUGCUCAUCACAUUCUCGUGUCUCCUUAGCUGUGCCUCACCUCUCCAGGCAUUCAGAUAUGGAAACUAAUUGGACCCAUGAUUCAUUUUGCUUUCUUUCCAUCCUUGGAGAACUUUACAAAGAGGCCGAAGCACCCUCCGAAUGGUCCGCAGAUGAGACAGGAGAGACCUGGGAAGACUGGCCCUGGUGCCAGAAACCACAGUAUAUAGAAUGAAAGGAAGAAGAAGAAGGAAAAAAAAAAACCCUCUGAAUUUCCAGCUGCAGAAUCGCAUCAGGGCACGUGAUGUCAGGCCACGCUAGUCAUGUUUGCUUAUGAGGUGCAGUCCCCCAGGGAUGCCACGACCUGCUGUGUCAGUCAGAGAAGAAAGAAGGAGAAGGAAAAACAAAUCAUUCCACAGCUGCUCAAGUUUGAAAAGUAAGGCUUUAGAAACUGAAUUUUCUUCAGCUACAAGAUGAGCACCAAUAUUUAAAUACGUCAGAUUUUCUGGCUGGAGUUGAAGGCUGGGAAGAUCUACAAGGAUUUCUGAGUUUCUUAGAUCUUUAGCUUAUCAUAGCAUUAAGAAAAACCUUUUUUAUUAUGAAAAAUUUCAAAAAUACAGGAACACAGGGAGAAUACAAUAAUGAACUGCCACACACAGUUCCCCAAAUGAUCAUUAACAUGUGCCUGUGCUUACUUUGUCUUUUCUGCCUUCGGGAGUAUAUUAAGGUGUAUGUAAUAUAUUUAAUAUUCAUUACAAACAUCAUGAAAUUUUGUCUCUAAAUACGUAAACAAUAAAGAACACUUUCUAAAGUAAUGCAACAGCAUCUAAACUCUAAGAUGUUGCUACAACUUGAAUGUUUGUGUCCCUCCAAAAUUCAUAGGUUGAAACCCAAUCACCAAGGAGCUGUUAUUAUAAGGUGGGCCCUCUGGGAGGUGAGGAGGCCCUAAGGAACCCACCUUUCAAUGAAUGAGAUUGGUGCCCAUAUAAAUGAGGCUCCAUAGAGCUGCCUGCCUCUUUUUCACCCUGCUGUCAUGUGAGGACACAGCAUCAUCUUAGAGGCAGAGAACAGAUCCUCAUCAGAUACUGAGCCUGCAAGCCUCUUGACCUUGGACUUCCCAGGCUUCAGAACCAUGAGCAAUGAAUUCGUGCUGUUUAUACAUUACAGCAGUCUCCGGUAUUUUGUUAUAGCAGCAGAAACAUACUAAGACAGAAACUGGUACCAAGCAGCGGAAUGUCACUAUAACAAAUACCUGAAAAUGUGGAAGCAGCUUUGGAACUGAGUAUUGGGUAGAGGCCAGAAGAGUUUUGAAGCCAAAAAAAAAAAAAAAUUCUGUAUUGCCAUGAAAGAGUGUUAGUGGUGAUUCUAGGGAGGGCCCAGAAGAAGAGAGCUGGAAAGAGAGACUCAGUCUUCUUAGAGAUUAUCUAGGUGGUCGCGGACAGAAUGUUGGUAGAAAUAUGAGGUCUGAUGAGGUCCCAGAUGAAAAUGAGAAACAAGAUAUGGAACCUCGGGGGAAAGACUGUCCUUGUAAUAAAGUGGCAAAGAGCUUGCUCGAAUUUUGUUUAUGUUGUAGCACUUUGUGGAAAGCAGAACUCAUGAGUAAUAAACUGGUUGGAAGAAAUAAGCUUGGUGGAAGAAGUCUCUAAGCCAAGUGCUGAGAGUGCCACAUGGCUUCUCUUGAUGGCUCAGUAAAAUGUAAGAAGAGACAAACUAAUGAUGGAAUUUAUAAUCAAAAGCGGAGCAACACUUAAAACUUGGGAAAAUUCUCAGCCUGCCUAUGUUAAGAAUGAACAGGUGGGUUCGGGAGGGAAAACUGAGUGUGGCCAAGUGACACCCUUGAUAUUAAUUUCUCUAGUAGGUAGAUUAGUAUGGAGAGAGAAAAGCUAGAUGCGAUUUAUCAAGACAAUGGAAAAAUGACCGUAAACGUGUUUGAGUUGCCAUGCCCAUCACAGUCUCAGAGAGAGAGCCAGGGCCUUCAAGGCAGGAUGGUUUCAAGGGGAGUCCCAGGGUGCCUGUGGGACCUCAGGGCUUGAUCGUCAGAGCUCCCCCCGGUUUCUGCUCCACUUAUUCACGCUCAGCAUGAAUGUUGUGUGGCCCAGACCCAGAUGUGUCUCCGGCCACAGCUCUGGAGGGCGCAGGCACCCAACGGCACUCGGGCCACAGCUCUGGAGGGCCCAGGCACUCAGCAGGUGCGCUGCACAAGUGGACUAAGAUAGAUGUUCGACAGCGCCUGUCUGGAUAUCUACACAAUAACUACCAGGUGAGAGAUGCAAAUACUGGCUCCAGGGACCCAGGCUGAGCCCCCUGAAUCAGGAUUCCUGUCAUGAUACCUGGAAUAUGCAUUUUAACAGCCCCACCGUAAAUCUGAUGUGCCAUCCAGUUUAAGAACCCUGGCUGGGUGCGGUGGGUGGCUCAUGCCUGUAAUCCCAGCACUUUGGGAGGC
Molecule: long non-coding RNA, 4485 nt
Filed under: Homo sapiens (human)
Lineage: Eukaryota; Metazoa; Chordata; Mammalia; Primates; Hominidae
Description: HSALNT0270094
Source: RNAcentral